This 253-nucleotide ribosomal RNA is filed under the name uncultured bacterium. RNAcentral describes it as "partial 16S ribosomal RNA". It matches the Rfam family "Bacterial small subunit ribosomal RNA", at positions 524 to 776 of the family's 1533-position model. The record is from RNAcentral.
UACGUAGGGGGCAAGCGUUGUCCGGAAUCAUUGGGCGUAAAGAGCGUGUAGGCGGUUCGGUAAGUCCGCUGUAAAAGUCCAGGGCUCAACCCUGGAAAGCCGGUGGAAACUGUCGAACUAGAGUCCGGAAGAGGCGAGUGGAAUUCCUGGUGUAGCGGUGAAAUGCGCAGAUAUCAGGAGGAACACCAAUGGCGAAGGCAGCUCGCUGGGACGGUACUGACGCUGAGACGCGAAAGCGUGGGGAGCGAACAGG